Molecule: ribosomal RNA, 402 nt
Filed under: uncultured bacterium
Lineage: Bacteria
Description: bacterial SSU rRNA
Rfam family: Bacterial small subunit ribosomal RNA
Source: RNAcentral
UCGGGAAUUUUGGGCAAUGGGCGAAAGCCUGACCCAGCAACGCCGCGUGAGGGAUGAAGUAUUUCGGUAUGUAAACCUCGAAGGAAUGGGAAGAAUAAAUGACGGUACCAUUUAUAAGCUCCGGCUAACUACGUGCCAGCAGCCGCGGUAAUACGUAGGCAGCAAGCGUUGUUCGGAGUUACUGGGCGUAAAGAGUGCGUAGGCGGUUUUCUAAGUUCGGUGUGAAAUCUCCCGGCUUAACUGGGAGGGUGCGCCGAAGACUGGGAAGCUGGAGUGUGGGAAAGGCAGGCGGAAUUCCUGGUGUAGCGGUGAAAUGCGUAGAUAUCAGGAGGAACACCGGCGGUGUAGACGGCUUGCUAGACCAUAACUGACGCUGAGGCACGAAAGCGUGGGUAGCAAACA